GAUAAACAAAAAAUAAAAUUAAAACAAAAUUACAUGAUUUUUCCUAUAAAUUUCAGAAAUCAGAUGUGAUUUUUCCACUUCUAUUGAAUAUAUAUGUUUUCAAAAACUGAGAAAAACAUUAUGUAUAUUUUUCAACAACAAAUAAAUAUAACAAAAAAAAUCUAAAAUUACAGUAGUAUGGGGAAAUAGAUCCAAAAGUUAAGCAUGACUUUUGCAAACCUCCGACGGAAAAAGACUUUACAAAGAUACAAAAAAUUAUGAGAUACAAACUCUGAUUAUUUGUUGUUGUUGCUGUUGUUGCAUGUGUGAGAGAAGUGGUGGAAGAAGACAACACAAAACAAAAGCAGGGUUUUCCGGCGUCGGCACAGUGGCUGUUUGUUCCGGCACGGUGGCCACUGACAAAGGUGGUCGAUCUUGAAUUUUGUUUUGUGGGUUUUGUAAAGGAGGCCAAGGAGAUUCUUUAUAUGGUGAUGAUGUUUCAAAAGAUUGUCUAUGGAGGUAAAAAUCAAGCUGAGAAAGUGGCAAUUGAAAUUUUUAAAAAGAGAUGUGAAACAAUGGAACCAUAUUGUAGGUUGAUCUUUAGAAAAAGAUGAGAUGGUUGAUGAAGGAGAGGAGAUGAUGAAAUAUUGAAGAAGGAUGCCGUUAGAAAAAAGAAAGAAAGAAAAAAAGGAGCGGCGGCUGUUGAAAUGAGACAAAGAGGAU
This 702-nucleotide long non-coding RNA is filed under the name Trifolium pratense (red clover). RNAcentral's name for it is "long non-coding RNA (TPRA_LNC002651)". Lineage: Eukaryota; Viridiplantae; Streptophyta; Magnoliopsida; Fabales; Fabaceae. The record is from RNAcentral.